RNAcentral lists this ribosomal RNA (488 nucleotides) under Bacillus sp. N-S2-A. Its description in RNAcentral is "bacterial SSU rRNA". It matches the Rfam family "Bacterial small subunit ribosomal RNA", at positions 978 to 1465 of the family's 1533-position model. The record is from RNAcentral. Lineage: Bacteria; Bacillati; Bacillota; Bacilli; Caryophanales; Bacillaceae.
GUCUUGACAUCCUCUGACAACCCUAGAGAUAGGGCUUUCCCUUCGGGGACAGAGUGACAGGUGGUGCAUGGUUGUCGUCAGCUCGUGUCGUGAGAUGUUGGGUUAAGUCCCGCAACGAGCGCAACCCUUGAUCUUAGUUGCCAGCAUUCAGUUGGGCACUCUAAGGUGACUGCCGGUGACAAACCGGAGGAAGGUGGGGAUGACGUCAAAUCAUCAUGCCCCUUAUGACCUGGGCUACACACGUGCUACAAUGGACAGAACAAAGGGCUGCAAGACCGCAAGGUUUAGCCAAUCCCAUAAAUCUGUUCUCAGUUCGGAUCGCAGUCUGCAACUCGACUGCGUGAAGCUGGAAUCGCUAGUAAUCGCGGAUCAGCAUGCCGCGGUGAAUACGUUCCCGGGCCUUGUACACACCGCCCGUCACACCACGAGAGUUUGCAACACCCGAAGUCGGUGCCGGUAACCUUUAUGGAGCCAGCCGCCGAAGGUGG